CCUACGGGAGGCUGCAGUGGGGAAUUUUGCGCAAUGGGGGAAACCCUGACGCAGCAACGCCGCGUGAGUGAUGAAGGCCUUCGGGUCGUAAAGCUCUGUCAGAGGGGAAGAAAUGCAGGGGUGCUAAUAUCAUCUUUGCUUGACGGUACCCUCAAAGGAAGCACCGGCUAACUCCGUGCCAGCAGCCGCGGUAAUACGGAGGGUGCGAGCGUUGUUCGGAAUUAUUGGGCGUAAAGCGCGUGUAGGCGGUUUGGUAAGUCUGAUGUGAAAGCCCCGGGCUCAACCUGGGAAGUGCAUUGGAAACUGUCAGACUUGAAUACGGGAGAGGGUAGUGGAAUUCCUAGUGUAGGAGUGAAAUCCGUAGAUAUUAGGAGGAACACCGGUGGCGAAGGCGGCUACCUGGACCGAUAUUGACGCUGAGACGCGAAAGCGUGGGGAGCAAACAGGAUUAGAUACCCGGGUAGUC
Molecule: ribosomal RNA, 466 nt
Filed under: uncultured Geobacter sp.
Lineage: Bacteria; Pseudomonadati; Thermodesulfobacteriota; Desulfuromonadia; Geobacterales; Geobacteraceae
Description: bacterial SSU rRNA
Rfam family: Bacterial small subunit ribosomal RNA
Source: RNAcentral